GUGAUGUACUCAGAGCAGGGACUCUAAAAGUGGCCCUUCUGUUUACACCCAACAGGCACCAUGUAACAAGGAGCACAAGACUCAUGUCCUCCCUGUGAACAAGUGCCCCACACGU
Small nucleolar RNA from Rattus norvegicus (Norway rat), 115 nucleotides. Ensembl annotates it as small nucleolar RNA SNORA11. NCBI's taxonomy places the organism in Eukaryota, Metazoa, Chordata, Mammalia, Rodentia, Muridae. The record is from Ensembl.